This 274-nucleotide ribosomal RNA is filed under the name uncultured bacterium. RNAcentral's name for it is "partial 16S ribosomal RNA". It matches the Rfam family "Bacterial small subunit ribosomal RNA", at positions 523 to 796 of the family's 1533-position model. The record is from RNAcentral.
AUACGGAGGGGGUUAGCGUUGUUCGGAAUUACUGGGCGUAAAGCGCACGUAGGCGGACUGGAAAGUUGGGGGUGAAAUCCCGGGGCUCAACCCCGGAACUGCCUCCAAAACUUCCAAUCUAGAGAUCGAGAGAGGUGAGUGGAAUUCCAAGUGUAGAGGUGAAAUUCGUAGAUAUUUGGAGGAACACCAGUGGCGAAGGCGGCUCACUGGCUCGAUACUGACGCUGAGGUGCGAAAGCGUGGGGAGCAAACAGGAUUAGAAACCCCAGUAGUCC